RNAcentral lists this ribosomal RNA (744 nucleotides) under Escherichia coli. RNAcentral describes it as "bacterial SSU rRNA". It matches the Rfam family "Bacterial small subunit ribosomal RNA", at positions 756 to 1501 of the family's 1533-position model. Lineage: Bacteria; Pseudomonadati; Pseudomonadota; Gammaproteobacteria; Enterobacterales; Enterobacteriaceae. The record is from RNAcentral.
AAAGCGUGGGGAGCAAACAGGAUUAGAUACCCUGGUAGUCACGCCGUAAACGAUGUCGACUUGGAGGUUGUGCCCUUGAGGCGUGGCUUCCGGAGCUAACGCGUUAAGUCGACCGCCUGGGGAGUACGGCCGCAAGGUUAAAACUCAAAUGAAUUGACGGGGGCCCGCACAAGCGGUGGAGCAUGUGGUUUAAUUCGAUGCAACGCGAAGAACCUUACCUGGUCUUGACAUCCACGGAAGUUUUCAGAGAUGAGAAUGUGCCUUCGGGAACCGUGAGACAGGUGCUGCAUGGCUGUCGUCAGCUCGUGUUGUGAAAUGUUGGGUUAAGUCCCGCAACGAGCGCAACCCUUAUCCUUUGUUGCCAGCGGUCCGGCCGGGAACUCAAAGGAGACUGCCAGUGAUAAACUGGAGGAAGGUGGGGAUGACGUCAAGUCAUCAUGGCCCUUACGAGUAGGGCUACACACGUGCUACAAUGGCGCAUACAAAGAGAAGCGACCUCGCGAGAGCAAGCGGACCUCAUAAAGUGCGUCGUAGUCCGGAUUGGAGUCUGCAACUCGACUCCAUGAAGUCGGAAUCGCUAGUAAUCGUAGAUCAGAAUGCUACGGUGAAUACGUUCCCGGGCCUUGUACACACCGCCCGUCACACCAUGGGAGUGGGUUGCAAAAGAAGUAGGUAGCUUAACCUUCGGGAGGGCGCUUACCACUUUGUGAUUCAUGACUGGGGUGAAGUCGUAACAAGGUAACC